Non-coding RNA from Phrynosoma platyrhinos (Desert horned lizard), 71 nucleotides. NCBI's taxonomy places the organism in Eukaryota, Metazoa, Chordata, Lepidosauria, Squamata, Phrynosomatidae. The record is from the annotation of a GenBank genome assembly.
GCCAAUGUGGUGUAGUGGUUGAACUUUGGACUAUGAUUCUGGAGACCAAGGUUCGAAUCCCAACUUAGCCA